This is a long non-coding RNA of Homo sapiens (human), 329 nucleotides long. RefSeq lists it as uncharacterized. The transcript is spliced from 3 exons. The record is from RefSeq and is a predicted model, not a curated record. Lineage: Eukaryota; Metazoa; Chordata; Mammalia; Primates; Hominidae.
CAAAGGUGAAGUAAUUGGCUCAGAGUUAAACAGCCUGACAACAGAAGAGACAAGCACCGCAUCUUCCGGUCUAAAAUCCCUCUCGAGGGUUCAGGAUACAGGAAAAGUAGUUAUGCCUGAAGAUAAGUUGCUGACUUCGCUUCUACUUCAGUCACCCCUUUCUGAUCUUCCCAAGAAGAAAUAAAGAAUGAACAUUAAGGACAAUUAUGAAGCAAUACCCACAAUAAAACAAGAAUGAGAUCAUUUUAUUAUUCAAGGAACUGAAAUAAUGUAGAAUUCAUGGAGAGAAGAUGGGGAAGGAUAUUGUAAGGAGAAGGAAUAGCAUGAGC